CACGGAGUUAGCCGGUGCUUAUUCGUAUAGUACCUUCAGCUUUCCACACGUGGAAAGGUUUAUCCCUAUACAAAAGAAGUUUACAACCCAUAGGGCCGUCGUCCUUCACGCGGGAUGGCUGGAUCAGGCUCUCACCCAUUGUCCAAUACUCCUCACUGCUGCCUCCCGUAGGAGUCUGGUCCGUGUCUCAGUACCAGUGUGGGGGAUCACCCUCUCAGGCCCCCUAAAGAUCAUUGACUUGGUAGGCCGUUACCCUACCAACUAUCUAAUCUUGCGCGUGCCCAUCUCUAUCCACCGGAGUUUUCAAUAUCAAAUGAUGCCAUCUAAUAUAUUAUGGGGUAUUAAUCUUCCUUUCGAAAGGCUAAUCCCCCUGAUAAAGGCAGGUUGCACACGUGUUCCGCACCCGUACGCCGCUCUCUCUGUUCCGAAGAACAAAUACCGCUCGGCUUGCAUGUGUUAGCCUCCGCUACGCGUUCAUCCUGAGCCAGGAUCAAACUCU
This 499-nucleotide ribosomal RNA is filed under the name uncultured Chryseobacterium sp. RNAcentral's name for it is "partial 16S ribosomal RNA". Lineage: Bacteria; Pseudomonadati; Bacteroidota; Flavobacteriia; Flavobacteriales; Weeksellaceae. The record is from RNAcentral.